AAACCAUGUGGCUUGACUUUACUUUUUAAUGUGUUUCCCAGAAGAGAAAGUGGUUAUCUUUACCAACUGUCAUUCAAACAUGAGGAACAAGGGUACUUUUAAACAACAGGGUACAAUGUGAUUGCAGUGGUACAACAUGUACCAGCCAGAGAUAUGAUCCCCUCACUGAUGACUAACAAUGUUGGUCUCACACCCAAUCUCCAGAAUGCCUCCAUCAAAGGGAAAUCAGAAAAUGUCUUGAUGAGGAAAGAACCAGCUCCAGUCAGGAUUAUCUUCUGCACAACUAAGGACUGUCCCUCAAAAUGUUUCCUUUUUCACCUGAGCAGUCCAACACCGGGAAGCAAAAGAGGAAAAGAUGGAGAAGAUUAUUUCUGCUGGCCUCCAGGAACCAGGGUUGUUUUCUUUCUUGACUGUGAUCUGGAAAUGUACAACCAGAGGAUCUCAAUAAAUGCUCCAAUGUGUGACCAGCUAAUUUUAUUAACAUCAGUUCUCUAUGAAAUGAUGCUGCAUUUACUCGGUAACAGAAUGAAGUGGCAUGAAUGAGAGGCGGUGGACACUAAUCUGUGACUGAGAGAGAGGAGCUACCACCGAUGAAGACCGGUCAUCUGGGUUUCACAUUUCUCUGUGAAUGAACAGUUUUGAAAGACUAAGCCUCGUGUAUCUAUUCUCCUUUAAAAGUACUGCCUUCCUAAGGAAAACACCCUCAAUGUAUUCAUUUUGUUUCAGUUCUUUGUCUGGAGCUGUUGCUACAACUGCUUUAAUGAGAGACAAUUUUUUUUUCUGUCAUCCACAGUGUCUUUUGCAGCCCUCUUUUGAAUUAAUAAAAUGCAUUUUCAAAGUGUUUUGUUGGACUUAGAAGUGCUCUUAUAAUCCUCCACAAAGUGAAACUAACCAUAACUUCAUGAACCAUUUAAUAAACUAGUAUCCAGUUAUUCCAAAGAGCCAUUUAUUCAUUCAUUAAGCCAAUUAUUAAGCCUUGAGACACGUAAUUACCUGGAAUUUAAGAGACUAUAUAUUCUCAUUGCUCUUACCAAAAAGUAUCACCUCAAAUUUCACUUGCAAGUUACUGUCUGCCUAACUCAAGACAGUUAUUUGUGAUAACAAAGAAGUUUAUCACCAUUCUAUGUAAAAGAGUCUGCUUGUCAAAAUCCAUAGUAUGUUUGUCACUGUUGCUAUGGGACACAGCAAUGGAAAGUAAUCAUAAUUUCUGUUUUAAAUAUGUGACUUAUAUCAGCAUUUGCCUUAGGGUAAUUUAAAUAAAUUAUGCUAAAAUAGCAAAUUUUCUCUUUCACUUUUGUCUGGUG
Pan paniscus (pygmy chimpanzee) is the source of this 1304-nucleotide long non-coding RNA. Lineage: Eukaryota; Metazoa; Chordata; Mammalia; Primates; Hominidae. The record is from Ensembl.